GGAAGGGCCCCCGAAUAAUUUGUUCCUGCACAGUUAGGAAUACAGAACAGGGGACGCCCAAGAUGGGAGGUUCUGCAGUUAUUAUUCAGGAGGUUUCCCUGUCCCCAACCCCAGCAACCAUCCUCAGAGUUUGAGGUCAUCCAUUGGCUGUACCCAAAGGGGGGCCCCAGGCAGGAGAUUCUGGGGCCAAAGAGGGCGGCUCCCCUGCGUGGAACCCUUCCCUGGUGGCUCCCAAAUCCGGCAUUUUCUCUGCCUGCUUUUCCCUCGGGGGAGACUCAGGAAGGCUGCAGAAAUCUGGGCGCCCGCUCGCUCGCUUGUCAAGAAGCAAACUGUCUUCACAUUCUCCAAGAGCAACAUCCCUGCCUAGGAAGAGGAAGGAAGAGGCAAAAUAAAUAAAACCAGUUAAUGUUGUAGUUAACUUGCAAAUCAAGUAAAUCUGUUGGUGCCGUAUUUGAGAAAUAAACCAUCAGAGCGUCACAGCAAACACACACUUCUGAACGUCUUCAUUUUGAUUUAAUGGUAUAUCAGCGUCAACUAUCGCUUCCUCUGCUGGUACACACGGCCUGAUGCCGCGGGAGGAGGGUGCCCAUGUUUAUCACCGAGUGAGAUGACUAAUUACACCUUGUCAAUCACCGGCUAUGAAGACAUAAAACCAGCGCGCACAAUGAAGUAGUUGCCUGCAGCGUCAAUUAGUUGGCGAUUCCG
RNAcentral lists this long non-coding RNA (705 nucleotides) under Ictidomys tridecemlineatus (thirteen-lined ground squirrel). Its description in RNAcentral is "lncRNA (ENSSTOG00000033429.1)". Lineage: Eukaryota; Metazoa; Chordata; Mammalia; Rodentia; Sciuridae. The record is from RNAcentral.